GGUGAACGCUGGCGGUGCGCCUAAUACAUGCAAGUCGAACGAGAAGCUGGAUUUAUUCAGUGGAAAGUGGCGGACGAGCGAGUAACACGUAACUAGUUGCCCCGUACUCAGGGAUAACACGGCGAAAGUCGUGCUAAUACCGGAUGGUCUCGUAAGAGUAAAGCUUUUGCGGUACGGGAGACGGUUGCGGACUAUCAGCUUGUUGGUAGGGUAAUGGCCUACCAAGGCUAUGACGGAUAGCUGGUGUGAGAGCAUGACCAGCCGCGAUGGGACUGAGACACGGCCCAUACUCCUACGGGAGGCAGCAGUAAGGAAUCUUCCGCAAUGGACGAAAGUCUGACGGAGCGACACCGCGUGAAGGAUGAAGGCUUUAGGGUCGUAAACUUCUUUUCUGAGGGAAGAAAAUCUGACGGUACCUCAGGAAUAAGCCCCGGCUAAUUACG
Molecule: ribosomal RNA, 443 nt
Filed under: uncultured bacterium
Lineage: Bacteria
Description: bacterial SSU rRNA
Rfam family: Bacterial small subunit ribosomal RNA
Source: RNAcentral